GCCUACGGGGGGCAGCAGUAGGGAAUAUUGCUCAAUGGGGGAAACCCUGAAGCAGCAACGCCGCGUGGAGGAUGAAGGUUUUCGGAUUGUAAACUCCUUUUGUUAGAGAAGAUAAUGACGGUAUCUAACGAAUAAGCACCGGCUACCUCCGUGCCAGCAGCCGCGGUAAUACGGAGGGUGCAAGCGUUACUCGGAAUCACUGGGCGUAAAGAGCGCGUAGGCGGGAUAGCAAGUCAGAUGUGAAAUCCUAUGGCUUAACCAUAGAACUGCAUUUGAAACUGUUAUUCUAGAGUAUGGGAGAGGUA
This 305-nucleotide ribosomal RNA is filed under the name uncultured bacterium. Its description in RNAcentral is "bacterial SSU rRNA". It matches the Rfam family "Bacterial small subunit ribosomal RNA", at positions 337 to 659 of the family's 1533-position model. The record is from RNAcentral.